Molecule: ribosomal RNA, 302 nt
Filed under: uncultured bacterium
Lineage: Bacteria
Description: bacterial SSU rRNA
Rfam family: Bacterial small subunit ribosomal RNA
Source: RNAcentral
GGAUUAGAUACCCUGGUAGUCCACGCCGUAAACGAUGAUCACUAGACGUCAGUCUGGCUUUGCUGGAUUGGUGUCGAAGCUAACGCGUUAAGUGAUUCGCCUGUGGAGUACGGUCGCAAGAUUAAAACUCAAAGGAAUUGACGGGGGUCCGCACAAGCGGUGGAACAUGUGGUUUGAUUCGUCACUACGCGAGAAACCUUACCUGGGCUUGACAUGUAUUUGACAGCUGUAGAAAUACAGUCUUUCGAGCUUCGGUUCGGACAGAUACACAGGUGCUGCAUGGCUGUCGUCAGCUCGUGCUG